RNAcentral lists this transfer RNA (87 nucleotides) under Flavobacteriales bacterium. RNAcentral's name for it is "tRNA-Leu". It matches the Rfam family "tRNA". Rfam says of the family: Transfer RNA (tRNA) molecules are approximately 80 nucleotides in length. Lineage: Bacteria; Pseudomonadati; Bacteroidota; Flavobacteriia; Flavobacteriales. The record is from RNAcentral.
GCCCAGGUGCUGAAAUUGGUAGACAGGCAUGGUUGAGGGCCAUGUGUUCUUAUGGACGUGCGGGUUCGAGUCCCGCUCUGGGCACUA